AGAGUUUGAUCCUGGCUCAGGAUGAACGCUGGCGGCGUGCUUAACACAUGCAAGUCGAACGGGAAAUAUUUCAUUGAGACUUCGGUGGAUUUGAUCUAUUUCUAGUGGCGGACGGGUGAGUAACGCGUGGGUAACCUGCCUUAUACAGGGGGAUAACAGUCAGAAAUGGCUGCUAAUACCGCAUAAGCGCACAGAGCUGCAUGGCUCAGUGUGAAAAACUCCGGUGGUAUAAGAUGGACCCGCGUUGGAUUAGCUUGUUGGCAGGGUAACGGCCUACCAAGGCGACGAUCCAUAGCCGGCCUGAGAGGGUGAACGGCCACAUUGGGACUGAGACACGGCCCAGACUCCUACGGGAGGCAGCAGUGGGGAAUAUUGCACAAUGGGGGAAACCCUGACGCAGCGACGCCGCGUGAAGGAAGAAGUAUCUCGGUAUGUAAACUUCUAUCAGCAGGGAAGAUAGUGACGGUACCUGACUAAGAAGCCCCGGCUAACUACGUGCCAGCAGCCGCGGUAAUACGUAGGGGGCAAGCGUUAUCCGGAUUUACUGGGUGUAAAGGGAGCGUAGACGGUGUGGCAAGUCUGAUGUGAAAGGCAUGGGCUCAACCUGUGGACUGCAUUGGAAACUGUCAUACUUGAGUGCCGGAGGGGUAAGCGGAAUCCCUAGUGUAGCGGUGAAAUGCGUAGAUAUUAGGAGGAACACCAGUGGCGAAGGCGGCUUACUGGACGGUAACUGACGUUGAGGCUCGAAAGCGUGGGGAGCAAACCAGGAUUAGAUACCCUGGUAGUCCACGCCGUAAACG
Molecule: ribosomal RNA, 800 nt
Filed under: uncultured bacterium
Lineage: Bacteria
Description: bacterial SSU rRNA
Rfam family: Bacterial small subunit ribosomal RNA
Source: RNAcentral